This 496-nucleotide ribosomal RNA is filed under the name uncultured bacterium. Its description in RNAcentral is "partial 16S ribosomal RNA". It matches the Rfam family "Bacterial small subunit ribosomal RNA", at positions 29 to 507 of the family's 1533-position model. The record is from RNAcentral.
AUGAACGCUGGCGGCGUGCCUAAUACCUGCAAGUCGAGCGAACAGACGAGGAGCUUGCUCCUCUGACGUUAGCGGCGGACGGGUGAGUAACCCGUGGAUAACCUACCUAUAAGACUGGGAUAACUUCGGGAAACCGGAGCUAAUACCGGAUAAUAUAUUGAACCGCAUGGUUCAAUAGUGAAAGACGGUUUUGCUGUCACUUAUAGAUGGAUCCGCGCCGCAUUAGCUAGUUGGUAAGGUAACGGCUUACCAAGGCAACGAUGCGUAGCCGACCUGAGAGGGUGAUCGGCCACACUGGAACUGAGCCACGGUCCAGACUCCUACGGGAGGCAGCAGUAGGGAAUCUUCCGCAAUGGGCGAAAGCCUGACGGAGCAACGCCGCGUGAGUGAUGAAGGUCUUCGGAUCGUAAAACUCUGUUAUUAGGGAAGAACAAAUGUGUAAGUAACUAUGCACGUCUUGACGGUACCUAAUCAGAAAGCCACGGCUAACUACGUG